Molecule: non-coding RNA, 85 nt
Filed under: uncultured Nocardiopsis sp.
Lineage: Bacteria; Bacillati; Actinomycetota; Actinomycetes; Streptosporangiales; Nocardiopsidaceae
Description: TPP riboswitch (THI element)
Rfam family: TPP riboswitch aptamer (THI element)
About the family: Vitamin B(1) in its active form thiamin pyrophosphate (TPP) is an essential coenzyme that is synthesised by coupling of pyrimidine and thiazole moieties in bacteria.
Source: RNAcentral
UGACACGGGGUGCCCGGAAUACACCUCUCCGGGCUGAGAUGACACCCGUCGAACCUGAUCCAGAUAACGCUGGCGAAGGGAUGUC